GAAAGCGGAAGCCGCUGCGGGGCUGCACCGUGGUCUGCGGCGCGGCCCUCGCCCAGCUCUCCGCUGGCUGAGUCACGGCCCGCCGGCCGGCCCGGCCUAGUAGGACGCACGCUCGCCGCCCCGCAGCCGCUGCCUCCCGCGCCGGGCGGCCUUCGCCCCUCACCCGAACAGCCGGCACUGAGUCUUCCGCCAUUGCCUUAGCCUACUCUGGCGGCGGGCGAAGACCUCCUUCACUUUUUAUCCCCCUCCUUUCCCAGUUCAUUGUUCGCUUCUGGGGGGGAGGGGCGGGGGACCGUCUGGUGACCCUGUAGGUCGGGCUUGGAGGGCGCCGGGUCUGCGGCAACAGAGUGCCCUCCUCUGGGCGCUGGGCAGCCGGCUGCCUCCGAGGCCCGGGCGGCCUCCGCGGUCUCCAUGGUAACGGCCGCUCUGGCGUCUCCGCCUCGGGGGGAAGAUGCAGCCUGCCGGGCCCGCCAUCUCGCCCCCGGCCUCAUGGCGGGGCCGGGGCCACUGAGGAGGAAGGUCCCGGCCACCGGACUGCGGGGCAGCGGGCACCAGUGAAAUCCCAUUCCCUGCCUGGAGACACAGAUGGCCUCAAAUGAGAGAGAUGCUAUAUCGUGGUACCAAAAGAAGAUUGGAGCAUAUGAUCAGCAGAUCUGGGAAAAGUCAAUCGAACAGACUCAGAUUAAGGGCUUCAAAAACAAACCAAAAAAGAUGGGCCACAUAAAACCAGACUUGAUUGACGUUGACUUAAUCAGAGGCUCAACAUUUGCCAAAGCCAAACCUGAAAUUCCAUGGACAUCUCUGACUCGGAAGGGGCUUGUAAGAGUUGUGUUUUUCCCCUUGUUCAGCAACUGGUGGAUUCAGGUGACCUCUUUAAGAAUCUUUGUUUGGCUGCUACUGCUUUACCUCAUGCAAGUUCUAGCACUCGUGUUGUAUUUUAUGAUGCCUAUUGUGAAUGUAAGUGAAGUGCUUGGACCCUUGUGCCUUAUGUUACUCAUGGGAACUGUCCACUGUCAGAUCGUGUCUACUCAGAUAACAAGGCCAUCGGGAAACAAUGGAAAUCGGAGAAGAAGAAAAUUACGGAAAACUGUCAACAGUGAUGGGAGCCGAGAAAAUGGAAAUAACUCCUCCGAUAAAGUCAGAGGAGUAGAAACUUUGGAGUCUAUUCCCUUUAUUGGCGGUUUUUGGGAGACUCUCUUUGGGAACAGGAGUAAAAGAGUAAAACUAAUCAGUAACAAAGGGACUGAAACGGACAAUGACUCAAGUUGUCUGCAUCCUAUCAUUAAGAAGAGACAGUGUCGACCAGAGAUUAAAAUGUGGCAAACAAGGGAGAAAGCAAAAUUUUCAGAUGGAGAAAAGUGCCACAGGGAGGCUUUCAGGCGACUGGGGAAUGGGAUUUCGGAUGAUCUGUCCAGUGAGGAGGACGGUGAAGCCCGGACACAGAUGAUGAUGCUACGUAGGAGUGUGGAAGGGGCCUCAAGUGACAACGGCUGUGAAGUGAAGAAUAGAAAAUCCAUACUUACCAGGCACCUCAACACUCAGGUAAAGAAAAGCACUCCCAAGUGGUGUCACACGGCUCGGGAUUCGGAUAGUCUGGCAGAAUCAGAAUUUGAAUCGGCAGCCUUCAGUCAGGGCUCGAGGUCGGGCAUGAGUGGUGGCUCCCGAAGCCUCCACAUGUCGAGAAGAGACUCAGAGAGCACCCGCCAUGACUCGGAGACUGAGGAUAUGCUAUGGGAUGACCUGCUGCAUGGCCCAGAGUGUCGAUCGUCUGUCACCAGUGACAGUGAGGGGGCCCAUGUGAAUACCCUUCACUCAGGGACCAAACGUGACCCCAAAGAAGAUGUUUUUCAGCAGAACCACUUAUUCUGGCUUCAGAACUCAAGUCCUGCCUCUGAUCGAGUUAGUGCAAUAAUCUGGGAAGGGAAUGAGUGCAAAAAGAUGGAUAUGUCUGUGUUGGAAAUAAGUGGCAUCAUCAUGAGCAGGGUGAAUGCAUAUCAGCAAGGAGUAGGUUAUCAGAUGCUGGGAAAUGUCGUCACCAUUGGAUUAGCAUUUUUUCCUUUCUUACAUCGACUUUUCCGUGACAAGAGCCUUGACCAGCUAAAAUCCAUUUCAGCUGAGGAGAUCAUGACUCUUUUUUGUGGGGCACCACCUGUUACACCUAUCAUUAUUUUGUCUAUGAUUAAUUUUUUUGAAAGAUUGUGUCUUACUUGGAUUUUUUUUUUCAUGAUGUGUGUGGCAGAGAGAACGUAUAAACAGAGAUUUUUAUUUGCAAAACUCUUCAGCCAUAUUACUUCUGCCAGGAAAGCUAGGAAAUACGAAAUACCUCAUUUCAGACUUAAAAAAGUGGAGAACAUUAAGAUAUGGUUAUCACUGCGUUCCUUUCUAAAGAGACGGGGUCCGCAGCGUUCAGUUGAUGUGGUUGUAUCUUCAGUCUUCUUGCUGACUCUUUCAAUUGCUUUCAUUUGCUGUGCCCAGGUUCUCCAAGGGCAUAAAACUUUCCUGAAUGAUGCUUAUAAUUGGGAAUUUUUGAUCUGGGAAACAGCUUUACUACUUUUCUUGCUGCGUCUUGCUUCACUGGGGUCUGAAACCAAUAAGAAAUACAGCAAUGUUUCAAUAUUACUUACUGAGCAGAUUAAUUUGUAUCUUAAGAUGGAGAAAAAGCCGAAUAAGAAAGAACAGCUUACUCUAGUAAAUAAUGUAUUAAAGCUGUCUACCAAGUUAUUGAAAGAGUUGGACACACCAUUUAGACUCUAUGGACUGACAAUGAAUCCCUUAAUCUACAAUAUCACACGAGUCGUUAUCCUUUCUGCUGUCUCAGGUGUUAUAAGUGAUCUUCUAGGAUUUAAUAUAAGACUGUGGAAAAUUAAGUCAUAAGCUGAGCCAUGUGCCUGGACUCUCCCCUUGCUGGCAUCAGUACUGGCCCAUUAAGGAAGGAGAGGACUUUCAGAAACCAUGAGACACCUACCUGCUUGUUCACACACAGAGGUUAAUGCUGGCCUUGUAGAAUGAAUUUGGAAGCAUUCCUUCUUCUUCAACUUUUUUGGAAGAGUUGGAGGUGAUUGGUAUCCAUCUUGAAUAAGGAAGUUUGAAUUUCACAAAUGUGCAAUAAUUCCAUACCUUCCCUGCAGCAUGCCUGAGCAUAUAAGCUGUAGUAAGGUAUUACUCAAGGUCACAGCCGUUUCUCAGCCACACCGGUAGUGCCUGCGGCUUUGUGUGCACUUGGAACCUUCCAGGGCCCCGGAGUUAUGGGUGUUUUCUUAACGGGAGAAGCGCUCUCAGGCACACCAUCCUUUAAUUCCUCUGUCUUUUCAUAUAUCUGAACUCUCAUCAAAGAUUCUUCAAUUACUGGUGCGGGAAACUCCUCAAAUACGGAAGCAGAAUGGAAAGGUGGGGGAAAUGGUGGCUGCUCGUCAUAAAUCACAUUUGAAGACGAAGGAGUAUUAACAUCCCAAUCACCUGCAAAGAGGGAUUUGAGUGGGACAUUAUUACAUUUUAGAAUUAUAAAGAGGAACUGUAAGUUUUGAACUCUGACAGCCCUUUGAAUUGGACUAACUGCUCAAACAGUCUGAGUAUAUACGCUGAGCGCACCCGAUAAAGGCGGGCCGUAUACACAGACAAGCAUGCAGACAGCUGCGCUUGUACACGAGGUGGUUGUACUCGUAGGCUGUUUAAA
Molecule: RNA transcript, 3673 nt
Organism: Mustela erminea (ermine)
Lineage: Eukaryota; Metazoa; Chordata; Mammalia; Carnivora; Mustelidae
Gene: PHTF1
Gene name: putative homeodomain transcription factor 1
Exons: 23
Source: RefSeq, a predicted model, not a curated record